RNAcentral lists this ribosomal RNA (472 nucleotides) under bacterium BM35. RNAcentral's name for it is "bacterial SSU rRNA". It matches the Rfam family "Bacterial small subunit ribosomal RNA", at positions 920 to 1393 of the family's 1533-position model. The record is from RNAcentral.
CCCCCGCGCGCGGCGGGCGGGGCGGGGGCACGGGGGGAACGCGAAGAACCUUACCUACUCUUGACAUCCAGAGAACUUAGCAGAGAUGCUUUGGUGCCUUCGGGAACUCUGAGACAGGUGCUGCAUGGCUGUCGUCAGCUCGUGUUGUGAAAUGUUGGGUUAAGUCCCGCAACGAGCGCAACCCUUAUCCUUUGUUGCCAGCGGUCCGGCCGGGAACUCAAAGGAGACUGCCAGUGAUAAACUGGAGGAAGGUGGGGAUGACGUCAAGUCAUCAUGGCCCUUACGAGUAGGGCUACACACGUGCUACAAUGGCGCAUACAAAGAGAAGCGACCUCGCGAGAGCAAGCGGACCUCAUAAAGUGCGUCGUAGUCCGGAUUGGAGUCUGCAACUCGACUCCAUGAAGUCGGAAUCGCUAGUAAUCGUAGAUCAGAAUGCUACGGUGAAUACGUUCCCGGGUCUUGUACACACCGA